ACUCAAAUAGUUUAAAUUAGAAUAUUAACUUGUGGCGUUGUAGGUGUGUUUUACUUUGAGUA
This 62-nucleotide transfer RNA is filed under the name Neuroctenus hainanensis. Its description in RNAcentral is "tRNA-His". The record is from RNAcentral. Lineage: Eukaryota; Metazoa; Arthropoda; Insecta; Hemiptera; Aradidae. RNAcentral also lists the same sequence under 1 other name.